This 371-nucleotide ribosomal RNA is filed under the name uncultured prokaryote. Its description in RNAcentral is "partial 16S ribosomal RNA". The record is from RNAcentral.
CCCUACGGGGCGCUUGGCCAGAUACCUUAUGGUGUUUACGGUGGUAUGCGUACGCAGCAGCGCCCUCUCCGCUUCCUCUCGGGACCAGGCGUAGCGCCAGCCCAAUGAACCCGUAUCCCCUCCGUUCUCAUGCACCGCCUUUACCUUCUGUACUAUCUCCUCGUCAUCCAGAGGGAGCUUGCUGGGGUUCUUCAGGUAGAACGUGUCCUGCAGGUCGCGGGCGGGAUGGUCCUGCGGGGUGAACAGCGCGUCCAUGUUCCAGAACGCCGGCUGCACGUGCUCGUCAUCUAUCUCGUUGAAGCCCAUCUCGAUGAAUAUGCGGCGCACCUCGUCCGCGAUCCUGGUGAUGGGGUGCUUCUUGGCGGGGGGGC